RNAcentral lists this transfer RNA (64 nucleotides) under Synalpheus microneptunus. Its description in RNAcentral is "tRNA-Phe". Lineage: Eukaryota; Metazoa; Arthropoda; Malacostraca; Decapoda; Alpheidae. The record is from RNAcentral.
UGUCUAGGAACACUUGUUAACUCUACAGCUUCAAUGUAACAUUAUAUGCUUUAACUACCUAAAC